RNAcentral lists this ribosomal RNA (395 nucleotides) under uncultured bacterium. RNAcentral's name for it is "bacterial SSU rRNA". It matches the Rfam family "Bacterial small subunit ribosomal RNA", at positions 12 to 390 of the family's 1533-position model. The record is from RNAcentral.
UUUGAUCAUGGCUCAAAACGAACGCUGGCGGCCCGCCUAACCCUUGCAAGUCAAACGUGAAAGGGGGCAACCCUGAUUAAAGUGGCGCACGGGUGAAAAACGCGUAGGUGAUCUACCUUUGUGACCGGAAUACCCAGCCAAAAGGUUGGCUAAUACUGGAUAGAGCGCUUGGUACGUAAAGUACUGGAGCGGGAAAGGGAGGCCGUACCAAUACGGCUUUUGCACUGAAAUGACCCUGCUUCUCAUUAGCUAGUUGGUAGGGUAACGGCCUACCAAGGCAUUGAUGGGUAGCUGGUCUGAGAGGACAAUCACCCACACUGGAACUGAAACACGGUCCAAACUCCUACGGGAGGCACCAGUGGGGAAUCUUGCGCAAUGGACAAAAGUCUGACGCA